GGAAAAGCCACCAAAUCUAGGGUAACGUACAAGAACCUCAUCGAGAAAAUCAGACACCAGAAUAUGUCGACAGACAGCAUCCAGCGGCAGACCUUGGGGUAGGAGGUGCCGAACAGUGAGGCACGCUAGACAGUAGUGCUCGGUGGUGUUAGCAAGCGGUGCUUGCCAGCCCACCAACACCCACCCUCAACAACCAGCAAUACAGCAACAACUGCCAGCAAAGUGCUCGAGACAGCCCCGAGACAGUCGAGACAAUAACGAACACUAAGCAGAGGGAGGAUAGGAGCGUCCGCACUCAACCAGGAUUGUAGUGGGACUCUACAAGUGGGCUGAUCAGCGGCGUUGUCACCAAGCUGCGCCUUCCACACGACGCACCACAUCGAAUACAUUCACCCAAGAGGAAAAGAUGUUAGAAAAAAUAUUGGCAACACUGGUAACAGGAGGAGGGAGAGGCUAACGUGUGUAUGUGUGUGUUUUCUGGGCCAUUAAAUGUUAUCUGAUAACUCUAGUGGCUGCUAAAGAAGGCUUACUGAAGGAAUGGGUGUCGUGACGAAGUAAUGAUACUGGCGGGUUUGCGUCGCCGUGUGUCGCCGUGAGUGAGUAGCAUGUGGCGGGACCAGCAAGGAGCGGCUGGCAGGUGUCCAACGAGCGAUAAAGUAAGUUGUUUGUCUUCCGUAUCAGCAGUUGCGAAUCACUACUGCUGCACUUUGUUGUUGACCAGCGCUAAAAGUCGAGAGUGAAGGGCGGAAAAAAGUGUCGAGUUACCACUUACUGGAGCAUGAAUACCAAGGCAGAGUGGUGGUUCACUGAUUCCAGGAGUGCACGACGUAACAAUGCUGCAUCACACGUUACACUUGGAGGUUAUCGUUCACCAUUUUUUUACUUGGGACGGAAGGAAAAUGUGUGAGGAUGUGUCUGGAAAGUUGUGGAUGAGGGUGAUAAGUGAAAAUAGGAGAACGUGUUUUAUAGUUUGAUGACUUCUUGCAGCUUCUCUUGUUGUCUUACGUUACGAGCAAGUACUAAAAGGAAGAAAAAAAUGUAUGUAUAUCAAUAAUGCAACGUGUUUUGUUUGUGUCUG
This is a long non-coding RNA of Scylla paramamosain (green mud crab), 1078 nucleotides long. RefSeq lists it as uncharacterized. The transcript is spliced from 3 exons. NCBI's taxonomy places the organism in Eukaryota, Metazoa, Arthropoda, Malacostraca, Decapoda, Portunidae. The record is from RefSeq and is a predicted model, not a curated record.